Molecule: ribosomal RNA, 252 nt
Filed under: uncultured bacterium
Lineage: Bacteria
Description: partial 16S ribosomal RNA
Rfam family: Bacterial small subunit ribosomal RNA
Source: RNAcentral
UACGGAGGAUGCGAGCGUUAUCCGGAUUUAUCGGGUUUAAAGGGUGCGUAGGCGGAGUGCCAAGUCAGCGGUAAAAAUUCGGGGCUCAACCCCGUCGUGCCGUUGAAACUGGCGCCCUUGAGUGGGCGAGAAGUAUGCGGAAUGCGUGGUGUAGCGGUGAAAUGCAUAGAUAUCACGCAGAACCCCGAUUGCGAAGGCAGCAUACCGGCGCCCGACUGACGCUGAAGCACGAAAGCGUGGGUAUCGAACAGG